Molecule: ribosomal RNA, 468 nt
Filed under: uncultured bacterium
Lineage: Bacteria
Description: partial 16S ribosomal RNA
Rfam family: Bacterial small subunit ribosomal RNA
Source: RNAcentral
GACGAACGCUGGCGGCGUGCUUAACACAUGCAAGUCGAACGGAAAGGCCCUGCUUUUGUGGGGUGCUCGAGUGGCGAACGGGUGAGUAACACGUGAGUAACCUGCCCUUUACUUUGGGAUAACUUCAGGAAACUGGGGCUAAUACCGGAUAGGAGCUCCUGCUGCAUGGUGGGGGUUGGAAAGUUUCGGCGGUUGGGGAUGGACUCGCGGCUUAUCAGCUUGUUGGUGGGGUAGUGGCUUACCAAGGCUUUGACGGGUAGCCGGCUUGAGAGGGUGACCGGCCACAUUGGGACUGAGAUACGGCCCAGACUCCUACGGGAGGCAGCAGUGGGGAAUAUUGCACAAUGGGCGGAAGCCUGAUGCAGAAACGCCGCGUGCGGGAUGACGGCCUUCGGGUUGUAAACCGCUUUCGCCUGUGACGAAGCGUGAGUGACGGUAAUGGGUAAAGAAGCACCGGCUAACUACGUG